CAUUGGAAAGGCAACUUGAACUCACUUAUAGACCUACCUAUUGGUGAUUGCAUUGAAUUGACGUCACCUUGGAAGAGAUGUGUUCCACAUGGAAAAUCUUUCAUUAUAUGCACCUACUUGCAAGAUACCAAAAGGAAACAGGUGAAUACUUGCCCAAGAAUACAGAGGGCCACACUUGGUGAAGGUUUCAUCAGUAAGGAGAACCAUUUCAAGUAUGAAAUCCUCCCUUCUCAUUUUCUGAUGACUUCAUUUUUAUUCAAUAUCCAUUUGAAAUUAUUUAAGUUCAUUUUCUUUAUAUAUUAUAUUUUCUUUCUUGCUCAAUAAUUUCAUUCAAGUAAGUUGUUUGGAUAUCACAUUUUCUUUGGGGUUUUUUUUUUCUUUUUAGAAUAAUUUCAAAAGGUCAUUUUUAACUAUUCACAAAAUUUGAUCAUAGUUGAGUGAUUAAAAUUCAAGUUUAUUCUUAUUAUCAUUAGUAGUUAUUUGAUAUAUUCGUUUGCUAAUACAAAAAUAAGACUAACAAGUAAUGUGCAUAGAGUUUGUAGAAGAGAAGAAAGAUUUGAUCCAAGAUAUUCCUAAAGAUCGGAAACUUUCAAAGCCACCCAAGAUCCCAUAGGUUGAAUUCGGAUUCAUCCAGUUUACAAUCCAUUAAUUCUACUUAUAUCAUCUUUGUUAUGUUACAAUUUGCCUUUACUUGUUAUGCAGCCUACCUUAAUAAUUUGGGGAGACCAAGAUAAGGUAUACCUAGUAGAACUGGCUCACAAAUUGAAAAGGUAAACUUGUAUCACCUGCCUACAUGCCUACAACAAUAUAAACACUAGUUCGUGUCUUUCUCACUAUUGAAAUUGUUAUUGCAUGCAGGCAUUUCAGGUGAGGAGGCCCAACUUGUGAUCAUAGAGCAUACUUUUAUUAUAGAGAAGCCCAAGGAAAUAUUUAAGCACUUGAAAUCCUUUCUCAUUGAUUUGCUUCCACCUCCUAAGCAACACCUAGAACCACUCCCACCAUGACGAAGUUAAAAGGAACUAAUGCAACAUUCUCAAUAUAUUAGAAUAUAUCGAAGGAAGGGUGGCCACAUAUGAAGACCCUAUUCCAAGGUCAAAUUUAAGAUUUUUGUGUUUUUCCUAUCACUAUUCCUAUGCUAUUAUCAGUGCACCUUAUUUGUCAAGAUGAUUAAAAGGGAAUUCCCUAGGAUAACUAGUGUCUCAAGUGAUCUUGAAGUUCAUAAAUUUUUUGUUUCCACAAGAUAGGUGCUAACUAUUUUUAUUUUUUUUACACCCAUGCAAUAUUCUAGUCAUCUAUUAACAAGGGCUAAAAUUUCUUGUAGAGAAUAGAAUAAAGAACUAAAUUACAUGAAAAUAGGACAUUAUUAUUCUAUUUACAAGUAAGGGCCAAAAAUUGUUGAGGGCCACCAAGCACAUUGUUCCUAAAAUAAUAGCAUCCAUGUUGUUGAGCAAAAGUUUUUUUAUAUUGGCACCUCAUAUGUUUGUUUAAAUGCUCACAUCAAUAACUUUGAAAAUAUUUUCCAAAUUUUCAACAAAUUGUAAUGCUGUGCACUAAACUAAUCAUUUUACUUGGAGUUCUACAUUCUAAGAUUUUGAGAAAAAAACUAAGGUCUGAUAUGACAACUCUCAAUCCUAAAUGUUGUUUUGUGUUUGGAAUAUUACUGCACUUGAUAGAUGCCCUUACCUCUCUUACAGAACUUGGAAUUCAUGGCUACCCAGAAUUGGCAUCCCUGCCAGAAGAUAUGUUCCCUCAAAAGCCUGCAGAAACUAAACAAUUUGCAUUUGUUCACACUUAGAGGAAAGCUGCUGAAAGGAAAAGUGAAGACUAACCAAAGAUUUCUCAUAUCCCACAAAUUGAUAUCAUACAUCCAUGAAGAUUGAACUGAUACAGAAUGCCUUUCAGGUUUGAAAUCCCUAACUUUUCUUCUUAUUUUCUAUGACUUCAUUUUUAUUAUCUUCCAUUCAAAAAUCCUCUGUUUUCAUUUGUUUUGGUAGUUCUUUUUAUUUGCACCUUAUUUGUUUUAUUAAAUGCUUACUCCAGUAAGUUUGAAAAUUUUUACAUCUUCAAAUCAUUUUGCUUGAGUAUUUUGCAUUCUAAUAGUUUGAGGAAAUAUUGAGCUCUAACAUAAAUAGUAUUGGUCAUAGAGUCUUCCUUUCUUAAGAAGCUUACCAUUAACCUAAUGGCCAAAGGAUCCCAAAAGGAAAUGAAUUUGGGUUGGCUUGAAGAUUUCACAUGGUCCAAACAUUCGUAUUUACUAGAUGCCUGAUACAAAAGAAAUUUUGCUCUCUUUUCAAUUUAGCCAUUGAUGUAGUCUAAAUGUUUUAUUAGAGCAAUAAUUGUCGAGUAAAUGCAAAAUAGAGAAUGGUGUUAAUGAAUUCAGUACUUCAUUUAUGUUGUAGACUUGUAGUUUAGCAGCUUCUGUUGAUAAUGAGUGUGAGGUUGGCUUUAUCAUGUCACUGUUCCAAAUAUUCUUAAAAAAAAUAAUUUAAGCUCUGUAUGGUUCUUAGAAAAUUUAAGGGAAAAUGUGAGGAAAACAAAAUAGAGAGGAAAAGUGGAAGGAAAAAAAAGUGAAAGUCAAUAAAUUAUUUUUGUAUGCUACUUCAAACUCACUUCACUUUUUUUUAACUCUUCAAUAUAAAGAUUAAAUCAUUUGAAAAAUGUGUAAAUUUCUAAUUAAUUUUAAUUAUAUUUGAUUUUCUUUGGUAUUUUCCAAAAGACAACCAAAUAUGAGAAAAUCAUUUUCCUUUACAUUUUUUUUCUUAGUACUUUUAGGGAACCAAACAUAACCUAACUGUUUUAGUUUAGUAGUUUCAUCAAAUUAGAUAGACAACCUCACAUCUCUUAGUGAGCUGAGGUGCUAUGUCAAUUAAUGCUUUGUCUCUACUCUUCAUUGAAGUCUCUAUCUAUUGGAUGCACAGAUGAUAUGAUCUAAACUCAAAUUGAACACUGUUCUUGUUUUGCAACAUUACUGCACUCGAAAGGCAACUUCAACUCACUUAUAGACCUUCCUAUUGGUGAUUGCACUGAAUCGACAUCACUUUGGAAGAGAUGUGUUCCACACAGAAAAUCUUUCAUUAUAUUCACCUACUCGCAAGAUACCAAAGGGAAACAGGUGAAUACUUGCCCAAGAAUACAAAGGUCAUACUUGGUGAAGGUUCCAUCAAUAAGGAGAACCAUUUCAAGAAUGGAAUUCUCAUUUCUUCUCAUUUUCUUAUGGCUUCAUUUUUAUUCAAUAUCUAUAUGAAAUUAUUUAUGUUCAUUUUCUUUAGAUAUUACAUUUUUUUGCUUUCUCAAUAAUUUCAUUCAAGUUCUUUUGGAUAUCACAUUUUCUUUGGUGUUUUUUUUAGAAUAAUUCAAAAUGUCUUUUUUAACGGUUCACAAAAUUUGAUCACAGUUGAGUGAUUAAAAUUCAAGUUUAUUAUUAUUAUUAUUAUUGGUUAUUUGAUAUAUUUGUUUUCUUAUACAGAUAAAAGACUAGCAGCUAUUGUGCAUAGAAUUUGUAGAAGAGAAUAAAGAUUUGAUCUAAGUUAUUCCUAAUAGGUUGAGGAAUUCAUUCUUGUAAAAAUUGAGUGUUAAAGC
This 3579-nucleotide long non-coding RNA is filed under the name Vitis vinifera (wine grape). RNAcentral describes it as "long non-coding RNA (VVIN_LNC006737)". Lineage: Eukaryota; Viridiplantae; Streptophyta; Magnoliopsida; Vitales; Vitaceae. The record is from RNAcentral.